UAGAAUGCAAGUCGAGCGGUAAGGCCCUUCGGGGUACACGAGCGGCGAACGGGUGAGUAACACGUGAGCAACCUGCCCCUGACUCUGGGAUAAGCGGUGGAAACGCCGUCUAAUACCGGAUACGACACACCGCCUCAUGGCGUGUGUGUGGAAAGUUUUAUCGGUCAGGGAUGGGCUCGCGGCCUAUCAGCUAGUUGGUGGGGUAAAGGCCUACCAAGGCGAUUACGGGUAGCCGGCCUGAGAGGGCGACCGGCCACACUGGGACUGAGACACGGCCCAGACUCCUGCGGGAGGCAGCAGUGGGGAAUAUUGCACAAUGGGCGAAAGCCUGAUGCAGCGACGCCGCGUGGGGGAUGACGGCCUUCGGGUUGUAAACCUCUUUUACCACCAACGCAGGCUCCACGUACUCGUGGGGUUGACGGUAGGUGGGGAAUAAGGACCGGCUAACUACGUGCCAGCAGCCGCGGUAAUACGUAGGGUCCGAGCGUUGUCCGGAAUUAUUGGGCGUAAAGAGCUCGUAGGCGGCGUGUCACGUCUGCUGUGAAAGACCGGGGCUUAACUCCGGUUCUGCAGUGGAUACGGGCAUGCUAGAGGUAGGUAGGGGAGACUGGAAUUCCUGGUGUAGCGGUGAAAUGCGCAGAUAUCAGGAGGAACACCGGUGGCGAAGGCGGGUCUCUGGGCCUUACCUGACGCUGAGGAGCGAAAGCAUGGGGAGCGAACAGGAUUAGAUACCCUGGUAGUCCAUGCCGUAAACGUUGGGCGCUAGGUGUGGGGACUUUCCACGGUUUCCGCGCCGUAGCUAACGCAUUAAGCGCCCCGCCUCCGGAGUACGGCCGCAAGGCUAAAACUCAAAGGAAUUGACGGGGGCCCGCACAAGCGGCGGAGCAUGUUGCUUAAUUCGACGCAACGCGAAGAACCUUACCAAGGUUUGA
This 932-nucleotide ribosomal RNA is filed under the name Nocardiopsis tropica. RNAcentral's name for it is "bacterial SSU rRNA". It matches the Rfam family "Bacterial small subunit ribosomal RNA", at positions 51 to 984 of the family's 1533-position model. Lineage: Bacteria; Bacillati; Actinomycetota; Actinomycetes; Streptosporangiales; Nocardiopsidaceae. The record is from RNAcentral.